AUACUGCUGAGGAGUCCCACAACAGNAGGAGUCCCACAACAGGACGAAACGGCCGUCCAGUGC
RNAcentral lists this non-coding RNA (63 nucleotides) under Schistosoma margrebowiei. Lineage: Eukaryota; Metazoa; Platyhelminthes; Trematoda; Strigeidida; Schistosomatidae. The record is from RNAcentral.